CCUACGGGAGGCAGCAGUAGGGAAUAUUGCUCAAUGGGGGAAACCCUGAAGCAGCAACGCCGCGUGGAGGAUGAAGGUUUUCGGAUUGUAAACUCCUUUUGUUAGAGAAGAUAAUGACGGUAUCUAACGAAUAAGCACCGGCUAACUACGUGCCAGCAGCCGCGGUAAUACGAAGGGUGCAAGCGUUACUCGGAAUCACUGGGCGUAAAGAGCGCGUAGGCGGGAGAGCAAGUCAGAUGUGAAAUCCUAUGGCUUAACCAUAGAACUGCAUUUGAAACUGUUAUUCUGGAGUAUGGGAGAGGUAGGUGGAAUUCUUGGUGUAGGGGUAAAAUCCGUAGAGAUCAAGAGGAAUACUCAUGGCGAAGGCGACCUGCUAGAACAUAACUGACGCUGAUGCGCGAAAGCGUGGGGAGCAAACAGGAUUAGAUACCCGUGUAGUC
This 440-nucleotide ribosomal RNA is filed under the name uncultured bacterium. RNAcentral's name for it is "partial 16S ribosomal RNA". It matches the Rfam family "Bacterial small subunit ribosomal RNA", at positions 338 to 795 of the family's 1533-position model. The record is from RNAcentral.